UACGGGGGGAGCAAGCGUUGUCCGGAUUUACUGGGCGUAAAGCGCGUGUAGGCGGGACUUUAAGUCGGUGGUGAAAUCUUUCGGCUCAACCGGAAACCUGCCAUCGAUACUAUUGUCCUUGAGUACGGAAGAGGGAAGUGGAAUUCCAGGUGUAGCGGUGAAAUGCGUAGAUAUCUGGAAGAACACCAGUAGCGAAGGCGGCUUCCUGGUCCGUUACUGACGCUGAGACGCGAAAGCGUGGGGAGCAAACAGGAUUAGAUACCCGCGUA
This 269-nucleotide ribosomal RNA is filed under the name uncultured prokaryote. Its description in RNAcentral is "partial 16S ribosomal RNA". It matches the Rfam family "Bacterial small subunit ribosomal RNA", at positions 524 to 792 of the family's 1533-position model. The record is from RNAcentral.